This 647-nucleotide ribosomal RNA is filed under the name Enterococcus mundtii. Its description in RNAcentral is "bacterial SSU rRNA". It matches the Rfam family "Bacterial small subunit ribosomal RNA", at positions 24 to 642 of the family's 1533-position model. The record is from RNAcentral. Lineage: Bacteria; Bacillati; Bacillota; Bacilli; Lactobacillales; Enterococcaceae. RNAcentral also lists the same sequence under 1 other name.
UCAGGACGAACGCUGGCGGCGUGCCUAAUACAUGCAAGUCGAACGCUUCUUUUCCCACCGGAGCUUGCUCCACCGGGAAAAGAGGAGUGGCGAACGGGUGAGUAACACGUGGGUAACCUGCCCAUCAGAAGGGGAUAACACUUGGAAACAGGUGCUAAUACCGUAUAACAAUCGAAACCGCAUGGUUUCGUUUUGAAAGGCGCUUUACGGUGCCGCUGAUGGAUGGACCCGCGGUGCAUUAGCUAGUUGGUGAGGUAACGGCUCACCAAGGCCACGAUGCAUAGCCGACCUGAGAGGGUGAUCGGCCACAUUGGGACUGAGACACGGCCCAAACUCCUACGGGAGGCAGCAGUAGGGAAUCUUCGGCAAUGGACGAAAGUCUGACCGAGCAACGCCGCGUGAGUGAAGAAGGUUUUCGGAUCGUAAAACUCUGUUGUUAGAGAAGAACAAGGGUGAGAGUAACUGUUCACCCCUUGACGGUAUCUAACCAGAAAGCCACGGCUAACUACGUGCCAGCAGCCGCGGUAAUACGUAGGUGGCAAGCGUUGUCCGGAUUUAUUGGGCGUAAAGCGAGCGCAGGCGGUUUCUUAAGUCUGAUGUGAAAGCCCCCGGCUCAACCGGGGAGGGUCAUUGGAAACUGGGAGACU